RNAcentral lists this ribosomal RNA (256 nucleotides) under uncultured bacterium. Its description in RNAcentral is "partial 16S ribosomal RNA". It matches the Rfam family "Bacterial small subunit ribosomal RNA", at positions 524 to 775 of the family's 1533-position model. The record is from RNAcentral.
UACGAAGGGGGGCUAGCGUUGUUCGGAAUCACUGGGCGUAAAGCGCACGUAGGCGGAUCUUUAAGUCAGGGGGUGAAAUCCCGAGGCUCAACCUCGGGAACUGCCUUUGAUACUGGGGGAUCUCGAGUCCGGGAGAGGUGAGUGGAACUGCGAGUGUAGAGGUGAAAUUCGUAGAUAUUCGCAAGAACACCAGUGGCGAAGGCGGCCAACUGGUCCGGUACUGACGCUGAGGUGCGAAAGCGUGGGGAGCAACAGG